Molecule: long non-coding RNA, 1582 nt
Organism: Scleropages formosus (Asian bonytongue)
Lineage: Eukaryota; Metazoa; Chordata; Actinopteri; Osteoglossiformes; Osteoglossidae
Source: Ensembl
AGACACUGCUCCUGAAGGACAGAAGAAAAUUCAGGGAGCCUUAUUUUAACCACAGUUCUGAGAGUUGUGUGAUUCCUUUCCAAACAACCUAUAUGCCUUCCAUCCACCUGGUUGCUGGGCCGCACCAGUAAGCACAGGUCGGCCCAGUUUUGUUUGGGCCUCUCCCCACCUUCACGUUUAUACAUUUGCAGCUAAAAUUAAAAUCUGUCUAAAAGUGAAGAUGAAGAUGUCUGAUGUUUAGACCGAACAAGAAGUUUGUGCAGCUUACCUUGGAUGAGGAGAACAAAGUCCUUAGCUCUGCAUGAGCAGUCCCAGGGAUUGUGGUCCAGCCAGAAGUGUGUGGAAUGCAGACCACGGAAGGCCUCUGGAUUUAUGUAGAUCAGCUCAUUACCUGACAGGUCCAAGUGGAUUAGGUUCCCCUGUGUUCGGAAACUUUCCGCCGCGAUGGUGCGGAUCUUAUUCCGAGAAAGGUUCAGGCUUCUGAGGCCUGAAAAACCCUGCAGCAUCUUCUCAUCCAGAAACUUUAGGCUGUUCUCAUGCAGGAUCAGGUUCUCCAGCAGGUUAGGCUGGGAAAGCCAGGUGCUGCUGAUGCAAGACAGGCUGUUUUGGUACAGAGUGAGUCUUCGGAGCUGCCGGAACGAGUAGAGGGCUUUGGGGCAGAUGGCGGUGAUCCCUGCAUUCGCCAUGGUCAGGCUGGACACAGAUGCCAGGGCUUCACUUGUGAACACUGUGGAAUUGAUCUCUCCAACAUUGUUCACCAGGAGCACAAGAGAGAUGUGCAAAUGUAGGUCCCAUCUUCCGGCACACAAGUGCCACGGCACAUCGAGGGCAAAGCCCCGCUUAGCAUGAGGACCAUGGCGAUGACUGCAAGCGCUGCUGAAAAACAGAACCCCGGUGAAACUGCAGAUACUCCUGCGAGCUCUCAAACACUUGCCAUGCUCAACUGAAAGAAACAGACACUCACGCUGCAUUGUAGUGUGACCCGAAACCUGCACUGUGUGCUGCGAUUGAGAGGUGGCCCUGCCAGUACCUCGACACUGGACUCUGCUUACUAUGCACUGGCCAGCUGUAACCAUGGUGCCUAUUCCUGCUUGGCCAUUGCCGUCACCAUGGAUACGAGCUGCUGUCCGUGCAUGACUAUGGCUGUUCCAGGUGGUCAGUGAAGUGGUCCACGUGUGCAGCAGGGCAGGAGGCAGACAAGGCCGAUCAGAGCCACGCGGCCCAGGUUGUCAAGAGGACCGAGUGUCAGAACUUUCAGCAAAAGCAAAAACAAACCGCAUAUUCUAGUACCGGUAAAUUCAUCUGCAUGGCUGCAUGUUUUGCAGGUAUUUAAAAUCACUAGAAUAAGUACAUUCUUUUUAUGUGUUCUGAAAAUUCACAUCAUUGGUUUUGGCCAGUAUGUGCAUCUUCUUGCAAUCCUACAAACUGUUAAUUGUGCAGUUAAUGAGAAAUGUCAUUAUGAAGCAGACAUGAGAAGAAGCAGUUGGAUAGUUCUCCCUUUAUCAUAUAUUAAUGCUCUAUAAGUAUAAAUAUGCAAAGUGAAAAUAAGCCAAUAAUUAAUAAAACAAAAUAUGCACAACCA